GUCUCUCCAUCACAGUGACUUGUUAAAGC
RNAcentral lists this non-coding RNA (29 nucleotides) under Rattus norvegicus (Norway rat). The record is from RNAcentral. Lineage: Eukaryota; Metazoa; Chordata; Mammalia; Rodentia; Muridae.